AAACUCUCUCCUUAUCUCAAACUCUCCCUAGCACUCGAAACCCUAAUCACCUCCCUCAUCUUCUCUGAUCAAUCUCACCAGAGUCCAUGGCUUCUCAGGCCAUGAACGACUUGUGCUCAUCAUCAUCCCCCCCAAGCCUUGGUUGUUCUAGAUUCCGAGGUCCAACCUCGAUGGUGUUCGAGUAGAUCCCCCACAGAUCUGUGGUUCUAUGGUCUCUCCGACCGUGUUCUCACAUGUUCGAGCUUUAAGAGCCUAGCUAUGGCUCAUAUCUAUUCGAGACCAGACCCUUUCCAAGC
Molecule: long non-coding RNA, 296 nt
Filed under: Nicotiana benthamiana
Lineage: Eukaryota; Viridiplantae; Streptophyta; Magnoliopsida; Solanales; Solanaceae
Description: long non-coding RNA (NBEN_LNC007668)
Source: RNAcentral